This is a long non-coding RNA of Cucurbita pepo subsp. pepo (vegetable marrow), 2903 nucleotides long. RefSeq lists it as uncharacterized. Lineage: Eukaryota; Viridiplantae; Streptophyta; Magnoliopsida; Cucurbitales; Cucurbitaceae. The record is from RefSeq and is a predicted model, not a curated record.
GUUAAAAAUUGCACGGCGCCCUUAAAUGGGUUUGUUAAAUUCUCAAUGUGGAACGCGAAAUCGGGAUACUUGGCGCGCAUUCUGGAAGACGAGGGAGGUAUGCUUAGCCGUAUCAAUCUUGAGAUGUAUGCUGGUAAUUUUAAUGGCUUUGAUGUUUAAUCUAUCGCUUUAAGAUUUUCGUUUCUGUCAAAUCCAUUUUAGUUCAUGAACUCAUGAUUGUCUUCCUGAGCGAUGAUUUGUAUUCGAUUGGUUGAUAUAUUUUCCUUUUCGUAAAUCUGAAAUCUGCUGAGCUAUAAAUUUAUGAAGGGGAUUGAUUAUUAACAGGAUGUUGUUAGGAUUGUGGAGGUUGUGAGAUUAUAGGUAAUAUGAAGAAUUCUGGAUUUAAUUUGAUAUAGUUAGGGCAAAAGUUUGAUCACAUUUCCCCCCCUUUUGAGUUAGAAUAUUAUAUUUGGGGUAGCAUCAUCAUCGGAUAUCGUGAUGAUUCUUUUGGAUUGUUGUUGUAAAUUGUGACAAUUGACAUGUUCUUAUUUAUUUGAUGAUUCUUUACACAGUGCUAGGAUCAUCCGAUUUUAUAUCGCCAAAUCCAUUUUUUAUUCCCAUUCCUGCCUAUCCCUUCAAUGCUGGAUGAUAUGGGAAUUAAGCUUUAGGAUAAUACCCUUGGUAUAAUGAUCGAUUCCUGCGAUUUACAUCCAGUGGUCCGUGUAGGAGCCGAUUUUUGGCUUCAAGACUUGAUGCCUUCUUUGGUUUAUACACAUUUAUGAGAAUGCACUAAGAUUUGUGGUAUUUAUGCUUCAUGUAGUUACAAGAAGAACAUAGUGGCUACUCUUGGAAAAUAUAAGAAUCUACUUAUGACUAAUACCACAAGGGUGACAGUUAUGUGGUUCAUAUUAGCUUACCAUAUUGGCAUUUGCUUGAAAAAUGUUAAACCAUUCAAGUAAAAGUAUAUAGAGUAAAUGGAUUCUUAUCCUUGAUGAUAAUUGUGAUGUUGAGAUUUGAGAAUGACCUUUAGAAUUUUUGUUCUAGAAUGGACAACUAAUGGAGGUGAGUUUUUUUUUUUUCUUUUUUUGGUUUCUAUUCUUCUAUAUCACUAUUGACCCAGUUGUCAAUGAGGACCAUGUAAAUAGUAAAGGGCUAAGAGGGAAUGGGUUCAAGCUUUGGUGCUAACCUACCUAAGGCUUAAUAAUAUCCUACGAAUUAUCUUGGAAAUCAAAUGAUGUAGAGUUAGGUGGUUGCUAUGUGAAAAUAGUUGAGAUACGCUCAAGUUCGUAUCUCAAGUUGGCCUAGAAGGAGACACCAUUAGCGUAACUUUGAAUCUCGAGGAGCUUGGAUAGAAUCCAAUGGUUAGAAGAAACCUUAAUGAUAGCUCGGGAAUGAGUUUCUCUCUUUCCCUUGCUAAAAUAUUUACUCCCAGGAUAAAUGAUUGGAGAAUAUCACGAGUGAAGUGAGAGGAAGAAAACAAGAACACUUCACCUCGACAAAACUGAAACUCAUUUUAUCCUCAACUCUAAAUUGAAGUUUCAGAACCUAGACUAUGCAAUUUCAUUAGCAAGAACUAUAAGACAUUCUAGUGAAAUUAAGCACUCUAAUCAUACUAAAGUUCCCGAUCCAUUAACCAAGUUAGUUUUGCGUCUCUAGAGUCUAGACUCCUCUUAAUUUUGACUCUCUAAAUUCCUUCUUGUUCUCUAUCUAAGCACUUAUUGAACUAUUUUAUUUGGCAUUUUUAUGAGGCAUAUAUGAACAAGUAUCAUUGUGUAUGCAUUCCAGAACACUGAGCACAGGAACUUUGAUUCUACUCUGAUGUACUGACAACUCUGAAGUCCUUCGAGUCCAUACAAUUGUUAUUUGGGUUUGUAUUUACAUACUAGUUCUUGUGAUAUGUUUAAGAAAAACAUUGAAUGACUUUGCAGACUAGCUUUCAGGUUAGGAAAGUCUUCAUAGGCAUAUUGAAUAUAUACCCCUUUUAAGGUUGAAUAAUCGUUUCUGAUUUAUGUCGGAGUCUCAUAUUGGCUAAAUAGGGGGAAGAUCAUGGUUUCAUAAGUGAGGGAGACUAUCUCUAUUGGUAUGGAGUUUUUUUUUGGGAGAACCAAAAAUCAAACCACGAGAGAAAAUCCUCAAAUGAUGUUACUAGAAGGGGCAGAACUGAAUUAAAUCCUAGUAAUGCCACAUUUGUAAUGUAAUAUUCUAGUAAGGUUCAGAAAUAGUACAAAUUUGUUUAAGAAGCUAAAUGAAGUUUCCUCAAGCUUUGGUGAAUGUUGUUAACUCAGAAAAGUUUAUAUCGAGACUGAAUAACAUAACUGAACUGAGCUUCGUUUAUGGUACAGGUGGGAGAUUUGAACUAGAACUUUUCCUUUUGGUCAUUUUAACGAAUCUAGUUGUGCUCAGAUCCUUAUGCACGGGAUACGUUAAUAAUUUAAUGUAUAUUUUUACAAUUUUUUUAAUGCUUCUUGACAAUUAUGUUGUGAUUUUUAUUGUGAUGGAUAGAAAGUCAGAUAUCAACCUCUGUCACUUCUGCAAUGGGUCCUACAUUCUAAGAUAUGUAUAAAGUACCAUUCUUGGAAGAAAAAGAAAAAGAAAAGACUGUGGGUCAUGAAGCCAUGUUGUGUACUUUGUUUGGUUUCUCUCCUAAUAGCAAAUUGAAUAGCCAAUUGGAAUGGUGACCCUUAAAACAUCCAUGUGCACCUUUGGACCACCUUCUCCUCCACACUAAUUCUAUUAGCUCCCCUAACCCUACCUUUUCUUUUCUUUUCUUUUUUCUUCCGAUAACUCUGUAUCGAGACCCUAUUCUUCUAGUCUUUUUUAGCCUUCGGAGAGCAUUUGCGUACUCCGAGGCUUGCUCUAAUUCAAGAGACAACAAAAAUUUUAUGGUAAAUAUAUGAGUUUUUGAUCGGCAGACUUAAACCUAA